CAGUGACGGUAGGCGGGUGCGGGGGAGGAGGGAUCACCGGACUGAGUCACAGCGCCGUGCCCGGAGGACGAGCCAAACGAUGGUAGAGCAGCGAACCGGCAAAGAGAUCGCAAAAAAAAAAACGAAGUACAUGCAAAGCCCAGGGAAAGCACACAUGAGCCCCACAUCGAGAUCUACACACAGACACACACACCAGACAGCACACAUACGGAAACCGCAGCGCCAGUGUUGAACGAUGGGGGAGGGGAGAGUCCCCGGCGUGUCUCUCGUAGGCUCUGUGCCCAAGUGAAGCUCUUUUUCUCUUGCACUAGUGUCUGUUAUUGAGUGUGGGCCGUCCUCUCGGGACCUCCUUGCUCCUUCCCCUGGCGCGGCUGCAGUGCCAGACGAGCAUGCGCAUGCGCACAUGCUUUCUCUUCCGCUCCGUUCCCUCGCUCACAAGACGGGCGGCACACGCGUUCGCAUGCGUGUAUGGAAGCGUAUGGGCAGCAGACCUCCUUUGAACUCCAGGUGUCGAGAAAGGUCUCUCGUUCGUGUCUAAGGUUUGUGCAUCUGAUCUCCCCCGCCUUCUUCCACCUUCCGCAUAUCCGCUCUCCGCCUCCAACUUUUUCUUGCUUGAGUUUUUCGCGACCACCAUCAUCCCCACUGUUAG
RNAcentral lists this unclassified non-coding RNA (649 nucleotides) under Leishmania donovani. Its description in RNAcentral is "gene:unknown". Lineage: Eukaryota; Euglenozoa; Kinetoplastea; Trypanosomatida; Trypanosomatidae. The record is from RNAcentral.